This 463-nucleotide ribosomal RNA is filed under the name uncultured bacterium. RNAcentral describes it as "partial 16S ribosomal RNA". It matches the Rfam family "Bacterial small subunit ribosomal RNA", at positions 28 to 507 of the family's 1533-position model. The record is from RNAcentral.
GAUGAACGCUGACAGAGUGCUUAACACAUGCAAGUCUUUGGCGAAGCUGUGCUUGCACAGCCUAGCCAAGGCGGACGGGUGAGUAACGCGUAAGGAACUUGCCCUGCAGUCAGGGAUAACAGACGGAAACGACUGAUAAGACCUGGUAAAGUCAGGCGGACUCAUGUCCAGCCUGAUGAAAAGAGAUGCUGCAGGAGAGCCUUGCGUCCUAUUAGCUUGUUGGUGGGGUAACGGCCCACCAAGGCGAUGAUAGGUAGCCGGCCUGAGAGGGUGGACGGCCACAAGGGGACUGAGAUACGGCCCUUACUCCUACGGGAGGCAGCAGUGGGGAAUAUUGGACAAUGGGGGCAACCCUGAUCCAGCAAUUCUGUGUGCACGAUGAAGGUUUUCGGAGUGUAAAGUGCUUUCAGCAGGGAAGAAAAAAAUGACGGUACCUGCAGAAGAAGCGACGGCUAAAUACGUG